CUCACAUAUUCCUCCAUCUUUGUUGAUUCACUUUACACCUAAUCCUUGAUUUUAUAAUAUGUAAAUAAAAUCACAAUUUCGAAAACGCGUUAAAUCUUUUCUAUAAAUUACAUAACAACACAAGUUUCUUGAGUAUUCUCUACAAAUCUUUGCUCUGAAGUUGCUGCAGAAAUAGCGUUCAUCAAGCUAAUCAGGGUACUUUUCUUUUAUUCAUAUUGUUUGUUAUGAUCAAGUCCUUGGUAUCAUAUCAAUCCUGUUCUAAUUAGUUCAUUAAUGCUUUAUUUUGAAUUAGGCUAAACUUUUUUCAAUAGACAGUAUGUCAUCCAGUGUACCACCCCAUCAUUGCUCUGAUCACUACGAGUUGAAAAUGUCUGAAAGGCUUUAUAAAUGCGAUAAAUGCAAGAUGAUAGGGUUUGGAGAAAGAUAUGCAUGCCGUCUCUGUCGCAACUAUCUCCAUCGUGUAUGUAAGUACCCCAAAUCCAAGGCUACCCACGAGAAAUUUCCUGGCUACACUUUCAAAUAUCGUAGUAAACCAGACAUAAAAAUGUGUGAAAACAAUAGCAGAGAGUUUUUGAAGUGUUGCGAUGCAUGUGGAAAGGACAUAUGCGGUAUUAGCUACCGCUGUUACAAGGACAAAUCGAAAUCAUUGGAUUUGCAUCCAUGCUGUCUAAAACUUGAAAUGAAAAUAAUGAUCAAGGAUACGAAAUUUGAUCUUGUGCCAAAGGUUUCGUCCAAGUGUUAUAAGUGCGGAAAGUGGAAGACUUCUUGUGACAAGAGUCGGGGAUUGUCUUAUGUUUCCCAGUGCAAAAAUUAUAGUCUUCAUGUGUAUUGUGUAACUGAUAUGAUACAAGAGGCGUAUAUGAAGCGUAAGGAUUUGACAUUGAAGGUAAGUGAUUCACGAGAAUUAGUAAGAUAUAACGGAAAGGGAAAGGGUAAAAAUAACUACGUCAAGGUUGCCAAAAGCUUUAUCAAAAUUCUAGUUUCUUUUAUUUUGGGCGAUCCUACGGCGCUGAUUUCCCAUGCCAUUGUGGAGUGUGUCUUUCUCCUCUUCGGAAAGUAGUGUCUUUUUCUUCUUCUAUUUUUCAGUGUGGAUGAUAGUGUUUUGUUUGGUUCUCGUGAUUCAAUUCGUCUUUCCAAUCAUGAGACAUAGUUGUGGUACUUUUCUUGUACGUGAGUGAUGAUUAUUGCAAUAAACAUUUUAAUUUGAAUCGUCAUGUAGAGCAAGUAUUGAUAAAAAAUAAUAAUAAUAAUAAAUAAAUAAAAAAAUUCAUCAUAUUCAUUGUUUUGUCUCUAGUGGCGACUAUGCAUAUUGAACAUAAAUAAAAAUCUUGUUCAAUUGUGCAUAUUGAAUAUCAAUUAAAAUUUUGUGUCUCGAUUUCAGUGAAACAAUUUUUGGAAAUAUUUCUCAUUAAAGGUGUAUCUUAUAAUUUGUAAUAAUCACAAUUAGUAUUUAUUACUCUCAUGAUUGGUUAAACGAAAAAAAUUCAUGAAAUAAACUUUUAUCAAUUAACAUUUAUCAUGGUAAAGGCCAUUUUUAUGGCAUCGAGUAUGAAAGGGAAAAUUUAAUUCCCAAAAUGCAAGUUUGUUUGUUGUUGGUCGAUGGACUUCACCAUGCUUCGGUAUGAUUGUUCGAUGUACAAUUUUAUUUUCUUUUGAAAGUUCCAUUGGUCAACGUGACCAAAACUAAUGGCAAAGUUGAAAUAUUGAUUAUAUUUUAGCAAAAUUUUACCGAGUAAGCACUUAAUGAAAUAAAAGACGAUCAUCAUUUUUUGAACGUCAGGUCAUGAAGUCUCGCCACUCCAAGUGGAAGGACGGAGUCAUCGAUUGAAAUCAAAUUUAAAGUGUAGUUACCUAAUUG
This 1858-nucleotide long non-coding RNA is filed under the name Olea europaea subsp. europaea. Lineage: Eukaryota; Viridiplantae; Streptophyta; Magnoliopsida; Lamiales; Oleaceae. The record is from RNAcentral.